Molecule: unclassified non-coding RNA, 148 nt
Organism: Macaca fascicularis (crab-eating macaque)
Lineage: Eukaryota; Metazoa; Chordata; Mammalia; Primates; Cercopithecidae
Rfam family: Metazoan signal recognition particle RNA
About the family: The signal recognition particle (SRP) is a universally conserved ribonucleoprotein. It is involved in the co-translational targeting of proteins to membranes. The eukaryotic SRP consists of a 300-nucleotide 7S RNA and six proteins: SRPs 72, 68, 54, 19, 14, and 9.
Source: Ensembl
GCCGGGCAUGGUGGUGCAUGCCUGUAAUCCCAGCUACUUGGGAGGCUGAGGCAGGAGAAUGGCUUGAACCCAGAAGGUGGAGGUUACAGUGAGCCAAGAUUACGCCACUACACUCCAACCUGGGUGACAGAGUGAGACCCUGUCUCAA